Molecule: long non-coding RNA, 407 nt
Organism: Triticum aestivum (bread wheat)
Lineage: Eukaryota; Viridiplantae; Streptophyta; Magnoliopsida; Poales; Poaceae
Exons: 3
Source: RefSeq, a predicted model, not a curated record
UUGCUAUUUGGAGACACAUCAAAAUACAGACAAGGUCCUGCAUUUUGUGAAAGGUGGAAUAUUGAAUCUUCUUGCACUGAUCUAGAAUGGAUCGUGACUUCGCCCAAAAGUGAGGGGAGCAAGCGGCAGAAGAUUGUGACAUUGCUGCUAUUUGGAGACGCAUCAAAAUACAGACAAGGUCCUGCAUUUUGUGAAAGGUGCAAUAUUGAAUCUUCUUGCACUGAUCUAGAAUGAAUCUGACUUCGCCCAAAAGUGAGGGUGUGGUGUUGCUUUCUAAACUUGACUCAGUAUGCUACUCCAGACGCCUGUCCAGCCACCCUCAGCAUGUGCUCCGCUCACCGGCGCUCGCCAUUGCCCUGCAUUGACCGAGGCAUCGCUAGGAAUCUCCUUUUCCUAGCCCAGGUUCC